Molecule: transfer RNA, 72 nt
Filed under: Minisyncoccota bacterium
Lineage: Bacteria; Bacillati; Minisyncoccota
Description: tRNA-Thr
Rfam family: tRNA
About the family: Transfer RNA (tRNA) molecules are approximately 80 nucleotides in length.
Source: RNAcentral
GCCGUCUUGGCUUAGUGGUAAAGCACUGUCUUGGUAAGACAGAGAGCGUGGGUCCGAUUCCCACAGACGGCU